This 77-nucleotide transfer RNA is filed under the name Clostridia bacterium. RNAcentral describes it as "tRNA-Met". It matches the Rfam family "tRNA". Rfam says of the family: Transfer RNA (tRNA) molecules are approximately 80 nucleotides in length. Their secondary structure includes four short double-helical elements and three loops (D, anti-codon, and T loops). Further hydrogen bonds mediate the characteristic L-shaped molecular structure. tRNAs have two regions of fundamental functional importance: the anti-codon, which is responsible for specific mRNA codon recognition, and the 3' end, to which the tRNAs corresponding amino acid is attached (by aminoacyl-tRNA synthetases). tRNAs cope with the degeneracy of the genetic code in two manners: having more than one tRNA (with a specific anti-codon) for a particular amino acid; and 'wobble' base-pairing, i.e. permitting non-standard base-pairing at the 3rd anti-codon position. Lineage: Bacteria; Bacillati; Bacillota; Clostridia. RNAcentral also lists the same sequence under 2 other names. The record is from RNAcentral.
GGCGGUAUAGCUCAGUUGGCUAGAGCAUACGGUUCAUACCCGUAGUGUCACUAGUUCGAAUCUAGUUACCGCUACCA